AUAGUCAAAGAGAGAGUGAACGAGACAAACUACAUCAAAGCCAUUAAUUCAAAUUGAGGAUUAUGAGCGCAGCGGCAACAGCAACAGCAACAGCAACAGCAGCAACAACUAGUAAAAGCCCACGCCAAUGUAUGACAAAUCAAAGAAAACUUGGAGUCAGCGGCUCAAAAUCAGCAGCGACAAUAAGAACGCUUCUCUAGCCACAGCCGGCGGCAUGCAGACCCUUCAGCUGCUGCACAUGCAGCAGCAGCAGCAGCAACAGCAGCAGCAGCAG
Molecule: long non-coding RNA, 274 nt
Organism: Drosophila navojoa
Lineage: Eukaryota; Metazoa; Arthropoda; Insecta; Diptera; Drosophilidae
Gene: RhoGEF64C
Source: RefSeq, a predicted model, not a curated record